CCUACGGGAGGCAGCAGUGGGGAAUCUUGCGCAAUGGGGGCAACCCUGACGCAGCCAUGCCGCGUGAAUGAUGAAGGCCUUAGGGUUGUAAAGUUCUUUUGCCCGUGACGAUGAUGACGGUAACGGGAGAAUAAGCUCCGGCUAACUUCGUGCCAGCAGCCGCGGUAAUACGGAAGGGGGCUAGCGUUGUUCGGAAUUACUGGGCGUAAAGCGCGCGCAGGCGGUUCGAUAAGUUAGGGGUGAAAUCCCUGGGCUCAACCCAGGAAUGGCCUUUAAGACUGUCGAGCUAGAGGACGAGAGAGGUGAGUGGAAUUCCCAGUGUAGAGGUGAAAUUCGUAGAUAUUGGGAAGAACACCGGUGGCGAAGGCGGCUCACUGGCUCGUUUCUGACGCUGAGGCGCGAAAGCGUGGGGAGCAAACAGGAUUAGAUACCCUGGUAGUCCACGCCCUAAACGAUGAGUGCCAGGUGUCGGGAAGCUUAGCUUCUCGGCGCCGCAGCUAACGCCUUAAGCACUCCGCCUGGGGAGUACGGCCGCAAGGUUAAACUCAAAUGAAUUGACGG
Molecule: ribosomal RNA, 561 nt
Filed under: uncultured bacterium
Lineage: Bacteria
Description: bacterial SSU rRNA
Rfam family: Bacterial small subunit ribosomal RNA
Source: RNAcentral